AUGCGAUACGUAAUGUGAAUUGCAGAUUUCAGUGAAUCAUCGAAUCUUUGAACGCACAUUGCGCCCGCUAGUAUUCUGGCGGGCAUGCCUGUUCGAGCGUCAUUUCAACCAUCAAGCCCUCGGCUUGCGUUGGAGCCCUGCGGCUGCCGCAGGCUCCCAAAUCUAGUGGCGGGCUCGUCGUCGUACCGAGUGCAGUAAACAUCCUCGCUCAGGGAACGCGUCGGGUUCUUGCCGUGAAACCCCCCCCACAUCAAGGUUGACCUCGGAUCAGGUAGGAAUACCCGCUGAACUUAA
This 294-nucleotide unclassified non-coding RNA is filed under the name uncultured Schizothecium. Its description in RNAcentral is "partial contains 5.8S ribosomal RNA, internal transcribed spacer 2, and large subunit ribosomal RNA". The stretch from base 1 to 102 matches the Rfam family "5.8S ribosomal RNA", at positions 53 to 154 of the family's 154-position model. The record is from RNAcentral. Lineage: Eukaryota; Fungi; Ascomycota; Sordariomycetes; Sordariales; Lasiosphaeriaceae.